GGGGCUGAAUUUUAAGCUCGACAUUGGACUUUAACAGCUAGUUUGCAGAUCGCUUGUCAGCGUUAUAGGCACAUCUGAAUAGAUGCAAAAGAUUCACUUACUGCAAUGGUUGAUCGCGUACUAAACACACGUGCAUUAGCUUUUGCGCCAGUAGCAGCUUAAUUGUAGCUACGACCAUGAUUCAGACAUCAGAUAUGAUGAAAUGGUCUUAUAUUUAUCUGAUUGCUGGGGUUUUGUAAUUCGCAAGAUUCACUAAGAUUUAGAAUUGCAGAGAAUAAUGUUUUUGUUUGUUUUUAUCAUUAUUUUCUAAAGAAGCAACUUCAAACAAACUAAGCUUGUAGACGGCCAACGAGUAACCGAAUGGACGCGGGAUCAUACCCGCCAGCUCCACCA
Molecule: transfer-messenger RNA, 393 nt
Filed under: Candidatus Saccharimonadota bacterium
Lineage: Bacteria; Candidatus Saccharimonadota
Rfam family: transfer-messenger RNA
About the family: Bacterial tmRNA, also known as 10Sa RNA or SsrA, is named for its dual tRNA and mRNA-like properties. Its role is to liberate the mRNA from a stalled ribosome.
Source: RNAcentral